GGACACUGGUGACAGGUGGUGCAUGGUUGUCGUCAGCUCGUGUCGUGAGAUGUUGGGUUAAGUCCCGCAACGAGCGCAACCCUUAUUGUUAGUUGCUACGCAAGAGCACUCUAGCGAGACUGCCGUUGACAAAACGGAGGAAGGUGGGGACGACGUCAAAUCAUCAUGCCCCUUAUGUCCUGGGCCACACACGUACUACAAUGGUGGUCAACAGAGGGAAGCAAUACCGCGAGGUGGAGCAAAUCCCUAAAAGCCAUCCCAGUUCGGAUCGCAGGCUGCAACCCGCCUGCGUGAAGUUGGAAUCGCUAGUAAUCGCGGAUCAGCAUGCCGCGGUGAAUACGUUCCCGGGCCUUGUACACACCGCCCGUCACACCAUGAGAGUCGGGAACACCCGAAGUCCGUAGCCUAACAGCAAUGGGGGCGCGGCCGAAGGUGGGUUCGAUAAUUGGGGUGAAGUCGUAACAAGGUAGCCGUAUCGGAAGGUGCGGCUGGAUCACCUC
RNAcentral lists this ribosomal RNA (500 nucleotides) under uncultured bacterium. RNAcentral's name for it is "bacterial SSU rRNA". It matches the Rfam family "Bacterial small subunit ribosomal RNA", at positions 1023 to 1529 of the family's 1533-position model. The record is from RNAcentral.